Molecule: long non-coding RNA, 507 nt
Filed under: Piliocolobus tephrosceles (Ugandan red Colobus)
Lineage: Eukaryota; Metazoa; Chordata; Mammalia; Primates; Cercopithecidae
Description: lncRNA (ENSPTEG00000016370.1)
Source: RNAcentral
CUUCAUUUUUUUUUUCUUCAUUUUUUUGUUUUUCUUCUAUACUGUUUUCUUGUUUUAUCAUCGUUUUUUGGUUACUUGUUUUAAUUAUUUCAUUGCUUUCGAGUUGUUUAUUUUUUUUUUUAGUUUCAUUAUUAGACUCAUGAUUAAUCACACUAUUAGCCUCAUUAUUAUUAUUAUUAUUAUUACUACUUACAUUUAUCACUUUUUCUACAUCUAUGUUUACAUUUUUUUUCUUUUCAUUUUCCUUUUUCUUUUCAUUUUCCUUUUUCUUUUCAUUUUCCUUUUCCUUUUCAUUUUCCUUUUCCUUUUCAUUUUCAUUUUCAUUUUCAUUUUCAUUUUCAUUUUCCUUUUCAUUUUUCUGUUCAUUUUCCUGUUCAUUUUCAUUUUUCUUUUUUUUUUUCUUUUUUUUUCUUGCCUUUUUUUGAAAUAAAUCAUUAGUAUUUAGGUAGUUGUAUCCGAUAUAGUUAUACUUAAAAAAAAAUAAAAAAAAAAAUUGAAAAUUGGGCA